GUCUUUUAAUUGAAGUCUGGAAUGAAUGGUUUGAUGAAAAAUUUACUUUCUUUAUUUUAAAAAAAUAAUUUGAUUUUUUAAUUAAAAAGUUAAGAUGAAAUUAUAGGACGAGAAGACCCUAUAGAACUUUAUUUCUACUUUAUUAAGUAGAAUUUUGAUAAUUAAUUUCUAUUUAUAGAAAGAAAUUUUGUUGGGGUGAUAAAAAAAAUUUUUUAACUUUUUUUCAUGUUAUCAUUUAUAUAUGAUUUUUUGAUCCUUUAUUAUGGAAAAUAAGAUUAAGUUACCUUAGGGAUAACAGCGUUAUUAUUUUAGAGAGUUCAUAUUGAUAAAAUAGUUUGCGACCUCGAUGUUGGAUUAAAAUAAGUUUCAGGAGUAGAAGAUUGAGAAUCUAGGUCUGUUCGACCUUUAAAUUUUUACA
This 418-nucleotide ribosomal RNA is filed under the name Pilophorus pleiku. Its description in RNAcentral is "partial large subunit ribosomal RNA". The stretch from base 291 to 418 matches the Rfam family "Bacterial large subunit ribosomal RNA", at positions 2473 to 2600 of the family's 2925-position model. The record is from RNAcentral. Lineage: Eukaryota; Metazoa; Arthropoda; Insecta; Hemiptera; Miridae.